This 488-nucleotide long non-coding RNA is filed under the name Chinchilla lanigera (long-tailed chinchilla). RNAcentral describes it as "lncRNA (ENSCLAG00000022529.1)". The record is from RNAcentral. Lineage: Eukaryota; Metazoa; Chordata; Mammalia; Rodentia; Chinchillidae.
GAACAAGAGAAAAGCAGAAAAACCUGCUACUGGAGUGGGUCAUGACCUCUAUUCAUGUCGGAAGUCUGAAUGUACAACACCAAUUUCUGAUGAGUUCAAGUAAUGUUGCAUUUACAAUACAAACUGAUCAAAAAUGUCCACAGAUUUAGUGGAGAUGCAGAUGUUAUCCUGAGCCUGACUCAGGAGAUAAUCUCUCCAGAAGCCAUCAGAAGAAUGGAGCUGCCACGUACUUUCCAACUCCAGCCUCCUCAGCUGCUCCUGGUAUCCAGGCUUGAGAUGGCAGCGCAGGCCAGCUUGGCCAGUCAAGAAUCCAGGCAAAUCAGAAAAUGACUCAGAGAAAUGGACUCUUGCCAUUGAUCACACAAGUACUUGAGUCAUACAUCCAACUAUUUGGACUUAAUGCUCAACAAACACCAGAGUCUUUGCUAAACACAAAGAGACAAUGCACAUGAUUCAAUGACAUCCACUGCAUCCAAGUACAUUCCUAG